Molecule: ribosomal RNA, 253 nt
Filed under: uncultured bacterium
Lineage: Bacteria
Description: partial 16S ribosomal RNA
Rfam family: Bacterial small subunit ribosomal RNA
Source: RNAcentral
UACGGAGGGUGCGAGCGUUGUCCGGAAUCACUGGGCGUAAAGCGCACGUAGGCGGCUUUGUAAGUCGGAUGUGAAAUCCCUCGGCUUAACCAAGGAAGUGCAUCCGAAACUACAGAGCUUGAGUACUUAAGAGGAUCGCGGAAUUCCCGGUGUAGAGGUGAAAUUCGUAGAUAUCGGGAGGAACACCAGUGGCGAAGGCGGCGAUCUGGGAAGAUACUGACGCUGAGGUGCGAAAGCGUGGGGAGCAAACAGG